RNAcentral lists this ribosomal RNA (253 nucleotides) under uncultured bacterium. RNAcentral's name for it is "partial 16S ribosomal RNA". It matches the Rfam family "Bacterial small subunit ribosomal RNA", at positions 524 to 776 of the family's 1533-position model. The record is from RNAcentral.
UACGUAGGGUGCGAGCGUUGUCCGGAAUUAUUGGGCGUAAAGAGCUCGUAGGCGGUUUGUCGCGUCUGCUGUGAAAACCCGAGGCUCAACCUCGGGCCUGCAGUGGGUACGGGCAGACUAGAGUGCGGUAGGGGAGAAUGGAAUUCCCGGUGUAGCGGUGAAAUGCGCAGAUAUCGGGAGGAACACCGGUGGCGAAGGCGGUUCUCUGGGCCUUACCUGACGCUGAGGAGCGAAAGCGUGGGGAGCGAACAGG